UCACUUCACAUUAAGCGAGGACCGCCUAUAUAGGUCCUCGCCGGUUUCGACCGGCUAUGGUGAUAAAUUGCGGCGUGCAAUAGGCACAGCGGACCCGGGGGCGGUACCCGGCGGCUCCACCAUUAUCAUCCUGAACCGGGAUUUUCCGGGGGCAGGAGCCCUGUUGUCGCAGGGAUAAUGACGGGGCCGAACUAGGAUCGACGUGUGUUGAAAAACGCUGUUUUUGCCCGGGCUGAGUAACCCGUUCAAGGCUCAAAACUCAUAAGUGCCAACGACAACGAAGCACUUGCUCUCGCGGCGUAAUUCUAGGGGCUAACGCCCUGAAGUUACAAAGUUAGAACACGGUUGGACCGACCGGGUAACAGAACGGAGACCAGCGGUACGGGGCGCACCGGGCAACAGAAGCGUCCCACU
RNAcentral lists this transfer-messenger RNA (414 nucleotides) under Novosphingobium sp. It matches the Rfam family "Alphaproteobacteria transfer-messenger RNA". Rfam says of the family: Bacterial tmRNA, also known as 10Sa RNA or SsrA, is named for its dual tRNA and mRNA-like properties. Its role is to liberate the mRNA from a stalled ribosome. RNAcentral also lists the same sequence under 1 other name. The record is from RNAcentral. Lineage: Bacteria; Pseudomonadati; Pseudomonadota; Alphaproteobacteria; Sphingomonadales; Sphingomonadaceae.